Bolinopsis microptera is the source of this 1375-nucleotide long non-coding RNA. RefSeq lists it as uncharacterized. The transcript is spliced from 2 exons. The record is from RefSeq and is a predicted model, not a curated record. Lineage: Eukaryota; Metazoa; Ctenophora; Tentaculata; Lobata; Bolinopsidae.
UAAUUUGUUAGAUAUGCAGAGGAAAUUCAACCGCGGGGAGUAUGUGAGAGUGAAGGGCCUGGUAAAAAGGGCAGAUCUCAAUGGAGAGGAGGGUGUUGUUAUAAAGGAAAUCGGUAACAGAUAUGAGGUUGAAAUUGUCAACAAGCCAAGUACAUUUUCUUUGCUACCUGAAAAAUUGGAGUAUCUAGGUCAAAGCUGUGUUGUUAUUGGACCAUGCGAUAAAGGGAUCAGUUCUGAUGAAAUACCAAUAUACACAUCAUAUCUGGAGGGACUCGUAGAGUAUAAAGAGAUACAAGAAUUGAAAUCAAGAUUUGGUUGGAGACGUCCUGUUGGCAUGGCAUGGUGUUCUGAAAAUGCCAAGUAUAAAGACUUGUACAUCUAUUACGACAGUGAAAGCAAAGAGACUGUAAACAGUCUUGCAGAUUUAGUUUUCCCGGCUAUGUCUGCUGAUAAAUGCUGUCCCUCUGUGCCCGUCAACAUGCCGGGACGGGAGGACGGUAUCAGAGGAUCUGUUGUGAUAAUCAGACAGGAACCACCCCAGAAGAUCACUUCAUGGUCAAUGGUGUUGAACAGACCAAAACUGGUCAGAGAGAUUUCUUCUUUGAUAGGCUCAUAACUCACACUGAAGUCAGGAGUAUGUUCAAUAAGGCUAUAAAGCACCAAGGGAAUCACUCACAUCAUGAGAAAGUUAGAAAAGCACAAGAAAAGAAACCCACCCCACAAUCUGCUCAACUGGAUAAGCUUACUAAAAUGUUUAAUGCUAAGCUUGGUGGUGGGCCUGGUGGCGUGAAAUUUCAUGAUCCUAAUGAUAUCACAGGUGACAUGUAUGAAUAUCUGUUGGGAAAGUAAACUCUGUAGAUCAAGUGUUAAGGUUGUGUUGUUUAGUGCAUGAUAUUUAUAUGCAAAUAACUUAUUGAGUGAAAUGGAUACAGUUUGUGCUCCUGACUGCAUUAAGAUGAUACUAUAUAAAUGUAUUUUAUAAUGUAUUACUUAAAUAUUUUUAACAAUAAAUUUAUUUUUAACUAUUAAUUUAUAUGAUAAUUUAUAGGUAUUUAUUUUCACCCAGCAUUCAAAGUGAGUUAAGUAUUGCUUAUGAAUUUUAUAUUGGGUACAAUUGCAAUGCGGCAAAGUUUAAGAAUUUGCAUUUUUAAUGGAAGUUUUAUACAGUUUUCGAGUUUGUUAUUUAUUUGUGACUCAGAUUAACGUUACAAUCGUUCAAUAAUUUGUAACACAGGUAACGUUUAAAAACUUCGGUAUUUUUUAUUUCCCUGGGCAUUUUUCUAUGGUGAUAAAGUUUGCACGAGAGUUCAAAUUUUGUGCUACAGAUGCCGUUUGUCUUAGUCACAUGAUGAUAAUUUGAUUGGGUCCCAUCUUG